GGUAAAUUUUCGUUGGUAUUGGUGGCGGAAGGAUGGACAAAUUUCUCUAGAAAAACUCACAGGAUGGACAAGACAGCAGCAUUGAGGCAAUUGAGGAGGACAACCAGCUAGCAAAAAGGCAGCGAGUCGGAAGAUCAUCGGUGUGGGGCCAUUUCGAAAAAAUUAACAACGGUAUGUCGGCAAAGUGUGUAUAAGACGAGCGGAAAUACCUCAAAUUUAUUUGACCACCUGAAGCGUGCGCAUCCCGGUCAGCGUGUUAACGAUGUGCCAAUCACUUCUGGUAAAAUAGAUACAUAUUUAAACACAAUAUAUGAAUCUACGUUAAAGCGCAAACAAGAGCUUGAUUUAGGACUCAUAAAGAUUGUAGCUCAAGGCAUGCAACCUUUUUCUAUAGUUGAGGAUCCUGAGUUUCGCGACUUUAUCAAACUAUUCGACCCACGAUACAAACUACCGUCGCGGAUUACCCUCUCUAAUGUCAUGAUGACAAAUUUAUUUGAUGAGCAGAAACCUAAAUUAAAAAAUUAGCUCAGCAAAAUAAAUCACUGUGCCAUCACAACUGAUAUGUGGACGUCCCUGGCAAAUGAAUCUUAUAUGACAGUCACAUGCUCGUUUAUUACAGAUAGUUACUGUCUUCGCUCUGCUGUUUUAUCAACAAAUCAAAUUAUCAAAUUGGUUGUGCAAGAUUGCCUAAAGCUGGAUUCCACAAAAGAAGUACUUAAAAAAUGCAAGUUCAUUGUCGCGUUUUUUAAAAGUAGCACGAUUGCUUACAAGAAAUUUAAAGAUUCUCAAUUGACGGAAACUAAAUAUAGUCUAAUACAGGAAGUUGCCACCAGAUGGAACAGUGCAUUCCUAAUGAUUGAAAGACUCUUAAAAACACAUGAAGCAAUCAAUAUAACACUUCUAAGUUUGUCGAAAGCGCCACAGCAUCUCACAGCUGACGAAAUCAACAUUUUAAAAGACUUGUCACAAAUACUUUCUCCCUUUGACAUUACUUCCAAAGAAGUGUCAUCGAAUUCUAUAGUCACGGUAUCACUAGUUAUUCCAGUUACUUGUGGCCUCUUAAACAACUUGGAAAAUAGCACAAAAAAAUCUUCUUACCGAAGUUGGCCUUAAAGUGAAUGAAUUUUUAAUUGAUUGCGUAAUCAAAAGGUUGUACAAGUACGAAGAUCGCACAGUAACUAACAUUUCUACAUUGCUUGAUCCAAGGUUUAAAAAACAAGGUUUCCGUUUGCAAUUCAAUGCCAAAAGUGCUGAAAAACUUUUAAUUGAAGAACUUAUUCAUCUGAGCAAGUCUUCAGCUCCCACCUCAGAGCCACCAACACCAAUUGAUCAACCAAAACCAACACGACAUCCUCUUUAUGAAUUUGUAAAAAUCAACAUAGAAAAUUUGCCUAGGACCAAGCGCUCCGAUGCAAUAAUUGAUUUACACCAAUAUAUUGGGAAACAUCACACCUUGGGCGAUGUUGAUCCCCUCAAAUAAUGGCAGCAUAACGAAAGUAGUAUAAAAGACCUUACUACGAAAUAUUUUUGCAUUCCUGCUUCAUCGACAGAGUAGGAGCGAAUGUUCAGCAAAGCUGGACAAAUUAUAACGGAACGAAGAGCUGCCUUAAAAGCUAAGCAUGUGGACAUGCUCCUUUUUCUUAGUCACAAUUCUCGGAUCUUGGCAGAAGACUGAUCCUUAAUUUUAAUUUUAUUCAAAUUUGUUUUGAUUUACUAUGUCCAUGAAGGAUCUCAUUAUGUUAAACAUAUGAAAUGUUUAUUAAAAUGUUAAUUUUUA
This is a long non-coding RNA of Drosophila willistoni, 1777 nucleotides long. RefSeq lists it as uncharacterized. Lineage: Eukaryota; Metazoa; Arthropoda; Insecta; Diptera; Drosophilidae. The transcript is spliced from 3 exons. The record is from RefSeq and is a predicted model, not a curated record.